Molecule: ribosomal RNA, 459 nt
Filed under: uncultured bacterium
Lineage: Bacteria
Description: partial 16S ribosomal RNA
Rfam family: Bacterial small subunit ribosomal RNA
Source: RNAcentral
CCUACGGGAUGCAGCAGUGAGGAAUAUUGGUCAAUGGACGCAAGUCUGAACCAGCCAUGCCGCGUGCAGGAAGACGGCUCUAUGAGUUGUAAACUGCUUUUGUACGAGGGUAAACGCAGAUACGCGUAUCUGUCUGAAAGUAUCGUACGAAUAAGGAUCGGCUAACUCCGUGCCAGCAGCCGCGGUAUACGGAGGAUUCAAGCGUUUUCCGGAUUUUUUGGGUUUAAAGGGGGCGUAGGCGGUCGGAUAAGUUAGAGGUGAAAACCCGAGGCCCAACUUCGGAAUUGACUCUGAUACUGUUCGGAUAGAGAGUAGUUGCGGUAGGCGGAAUGUAUGGUGGAGCGGUGAAAUGCUUAGAGAUCAUACAGAACACCGAUUGCGAAGGCAGCUUACCAAGCUACUUCUGACGUUGAGGCACGAAAGCGUGGGGAGCAAACAGGAUUAGAUACCCUUGUAGUC